RNAcentral lists this ribosomal RNA (725 nucleotides) under uncultured bacterium. Its description in RNAcentral is "bacterial SSU rRNA". It matches the Rfam family "Bacterial small subunit ribosomal RNA", at positions 771 to 1501 of the family's 1533-position model. The record is from RNAcentral.
AACAGGAUUAGAUACCCUGGUAGUCCACGCCCUAAACGAUGUCUACUAGUUGUCGGGUUUUAAUUAACUUGGUAACGCAGCUAACGCGUGAAGUAGACCGCCUGGGGAGUACGGUCGCAAGAUUAAAACUCAAAGGAAUUGACGGGGACCCGCACAAGCGGUGGAUGAUGUGGAUUAAUUCGAUGCAACGCGAAAAACCUUACCUACCCUUGACAUGGAAGGAAUCCUGGAGAGAUCUGGGAGUGCCCGAAAGGGAACCUUCACACAGGUGCUGCAUGGCUGUCGUCAGCUCGUGUCGUGAGAUGUUGGGCUAAGUCCCGCAACGAGCGCAACCCUUGUCAUUAGUUGCUACGCAAGAGCACUCUAAUGAGACUGCCGGUGACAAACCGGAGGAAGGUGGGGAUGACGUCAAGUCCUCAUGGCCCUUAUGGGUAGGGCUUCACACGUCAUACAAUGGUACAUACAGAGGGCCGCCAACCCGCGAGGGGGAGCUAAUCCCAGAAGGUGUAUCGUAGUCCGGAUUGUAGUCUGCAACUCGACUACAUGAAGUUGGAAUCGCUAGUAAUCGCGGAUCAGCAUGUCGCGGUGAAUACGUUCCCGGGUCUUGUACACACCGCCCGUCACACCAUGGGAGCGGGUUUUACCAGAAGUAGGUAGCUUAACCGUAAGGAGGGCGCUUACCACGGUAGGAUUCGUGACUGGGGUGAAGUCGUAACAAGGUAACC